Molecule: long non-coding RNA, 501 nt
Filed under: Homo sapiens (human)
Lineage: Eukaryota; Metazoa; Chordata; Mammalia; Primates; Hominidae
Description: non-protein coding lnc-ZNF682-2:1
Source: RNAcentral
AUGGGCAUCUCUUGGGACAACUGGCACAAACGCUGCAAGUCCAGGGGCAAGAGAAAGCCCUACCACAAGAAGCAGAAGGAUGAGUUGUGGCGCCCGGCUGCCAACACCAAGAUUGGCCCCCGCCGCAUCCACACAGUCCGUUUGUGGGGAGGUAAGAAGAAAUACGGUGCCCUGAGGCUGGACGGGGGAAUUUCUCCUGUGGCUCAGAGUGUUGUACUGGUAAAACAAGGAUCGUCCAUGUUGUCUACAAUACAUCUAAUAACGAGCUAGUCCGUACCAAGACCCUGGUGAAGAAUUGCAUCGUGCUCAUCAACAGCACACCGUCAGGACGGUGGUACUAGUCCCAUUAUGUGCUGCCCCUGGGCAGCAAAAAAAAAAAAAGAGGAAAUACGAUGAAAGGAAAAAGAAUGCCAAAAUCAGCAGUCUCCCGAAGGAGCAGUUCCAGCAGGGCAGCUUCUUGCUUACAUCGCUUCAGGGCCGGGACAGGGUGGCCGAGCAGAU